This is a long non-coding RNA of Bufo bufo (common toad), 147 nucleotides long. RefSeq lists it as uncharacterized. The record is from RefSeq and is a predicted model, not a curated record. The transcript is spliced from 3 exons. Lineage: Eukaryota; Metazoa; Chordata; Amphibia; Anura; Bufonidae.
CGCCUGUGAGAGAUUACACAGAGGUAAGUUAAGUGAAUAAAUUAGCUAGGAGGCGGCGCUGCGGGCCGGCGCCUCCAGCAAGAGUGCGCACUACGCGGUGGCCUACCUUGCUUAUGGGUGGCGCCGGCCCUGCCUGCAGAAGAUUUA